UUCUUCUUCUCUCUCCUGCCUCUCUCUUCCUCAAGCACUCCUCUCAUCUUUGUCCCGAGCCCUCUCACUCAUCCCAAGCGCUCCCCUCCUCAAUGUCUCGAGCCCUCUCACUAACCCUAAGUGCUUCCCUCCUCGCCUCUGUCCUCAUCGCCGUCAUCGACUUUCUAGUUGCGGCUCUAGAACUUGUCAGCCGCCAACUGGCCUCUCGAGCUUCUUUGUCUUCUACUCUUUAUUCGGUCCCGAUUUCAAGCUCGAGUAUGUAGCCAAGGAUUUUGAAGCAAAAGAGGUUUGCAAGGCUAGAUAUACUAGUGGCAAUGCUAAGUUUUGGGGUUUCGAUGACACCAUGACUGCCAUGAGGGAUAUUGUGGCGGGGAGAGAGAGGCAUAGGGGUACCAUGAGAUCUCUCUUUCUCCUUUGCCUUUUUUUUUCUUUUAUAUUGCCUCUGUUUCAGGAGGCAUGGAGGCUUGGUCAUAGAGGCUGCUUUGGCUUCUAAGUCAAGUCGGAGUCGGAGAGCUUAUCAGGAGGCUAAGGAGGAGAGCUCUUUGUCGGCCCUUUUGACUCUUGAAGGAAGUCAUGUCCGGCCAUUCCACCGGAGUAUUUGUCAUCAUAACUUUUGAGGGCUUCCACUGAGUGCGCUAAGGGAGAGAAUGAUUUGUCUGGCUUAGUGAAGAUGGGGGAACCCCCACACAGCCAACAGCUGGGAAGUAAACCCUAGGGAGGCACGUAGGAAACCACCACCCACGCACCACGGGUAAGUCGUCAAAUGAUCCGUCAGCCUCCCUGCAACUUGCGUUACAGGGGCUUCGAACUCCAAACCUCCUACGUGGAAGUCCGGAGCCUACCCAACGGAGCCACCGCGGCGGGUGUCCCUCGAAUGGAUUGAUGAGCUGAUAGAAGAACGCAAAUGAGGCGAAUCACCUCCUAUUUUGAGUGAGAAUGUAUGUGUUGCAAACUCUAUGAAGAAAGAGGAUAGUGAAUUUUCUCCAUGUUUACAUAUCAGUCCCUCGAAUGGAACGAUGAGCUGAUGGAAGAGCGCGGGAGAGGCAAAUCACCUCCUGUUUUGAGCGAGGAUGUAUGUGUUGCAAACUCGGUGAAGAAAGAUGAUGGUUUUAUUACUGUUCCUGAAUAAAUGAAUGGGACAGACUUCUCCGAGUGAGAUGGGAGAAAUAUCAAAGUGAGGAGGAAGCGGCUCUUGGUUUAGGAAAGAGUGUCAAAAAAGUUAUUUCUUACAAAGAAGCAUAUACAGCACAUCCAAGUGAAAUGGCCAAUGAGUGCUGUACGAUAUGAUGCAGAUUUUGAGAGAAGUUUUGAAAGGCCACAUGGUAGCUACAAAUGUGAGGAAGAAUUUUGAAGAUGAAGGACGACAGUUCAUUGACGAAUGACAUAAGUAACAAAAACUGGGCGUUGAAACUAUUACUAUGAAGGCGUUAUUUGUGAUCUUGGAGGCAACUUGUGAUGUUGUGAUAGCUGUCCCGACCUUUCAUAUUAAGUACCUUGAUCCUCCUCUCAAGGUAGUUCAUAGCUAUUUGAGGGGUCUUGCCUUGAGUUAGAUGCAUUAAUUGAUGUCAUUUGUCUUAUCAUACUUGAUUGAGAUAAUUUAGUUGUCUCAUUUUAUGAUUUUCCAUUUCCACCGGAUUCCACUAGAGAAAUGGCAAUGUCCUAAGUGCCGCUUGAAAAAUAAUUCAAUUGAGCCGAUAAGCCAUCUCGAUUCCAGUUUGUAGCGAGCUCAAACGAAAAUCGUGGGUCAAGAUCCAAGACAUUGUCUGGCACGGAGAAAGUAUCUCAAAUGCUUGGUGGCUCCCAUUUUCCAAGCAAGAGGUCUUUGAGUGGAGGGAACUCUGUUGUAACACCUGAAGUUCAGCCAUUGGAAGCUAAGCCAGAUCUGUCCCUAGGAGAGGACCCAUGCACCAUCAAGCCUGGUACUUCAGAAUCUGACCCUAAUUCACGAGGAUUAAUUCACUGAUUUUUUUUUCAGUCAUUUCUCUGAUCACGGAAGCCCCUUUACCAUUAUGUAUAAAUGCGCCAUUCGAUUUAUAUGGACACGGGAGAGGGGUGCAUUCAGACCUUCUUAUUUGUUCAUUAGGGCCUCCUUUUUAUCUUCAUUGCGGGAAAGAGCAGAUGGGUAGCUCGCAUGGAAUUCUCCCUUUAUGUGAUUAGAAGCUCGGCUGGGAAAAUUCUAAGGUACGAUACUGGUGAAGAAAAGAAGACAGGUUACAUUCGAAAAACACCACAAUUCACUAUCCAAUAUUAAAUGUGCCAAGACAGGGUACUUUAGUAGUGUCUAUUGGGGUGUAACUACAUGGUAUCAUGUCAUCCAAUCAAUCUGGGCUACCUUAAUCUUUGAAUGUAAAGUUAAAAAUUGCAUCCAUUAUUUGUCUACCACGGCGAUGGAGACGAGAUAUAUAGUUUCCAUCCCAGAUGGGCUCUGUAGACUUGGGCCCAAAAAUUUCACUUCGGGCCAAGCCCACCUUGUUCCUU
This is a long non-coding RNA of Eucalyptus grandis, 2478 nucleotides long. RefSeq lists it as uncharacterized. The record is from RefSeq and is a predicted model, not a curated record. Lineage: Eukaryota; Viridiplantae; Streptophyta; Magnoliopsida; Myrtales; Myrtaceae. The transcript has 8 exons.